AUACGGAGGAUGCAAGCGUUAUCCGGAUUUAUUGGGUUUAAAGGGUGCGUAGGCGGGACUGUAAGUCAGGGGUGAAAUACUGCAGCUUAACUGUAGCAUUGCCUUUGAAACUGCCGUUCUUGAGUACAGUUGAGGUAGGCGGAAUGUGGUGUGUAGCGGUGAAAUGCAUAGAUAUACCACAGAACGCCGAUUGCGAAGGCAGCUUACUAAGCUGUUACUGACGCUGAGGCACGAAAGCGUGGGGAUCAAACAGGAUUAGAUACCCUGGUAGUCCACGCUGUAAACGAUGAUUACUGGUUGUUGGCGAUAUAUAGCUAGUGACUGAGCGAAAGCAUUAAGUAAUCCACCUGGGGAGUACGUCGGCAACGAUGAAACUCAAAUGAAUUGGCGGGG
This 393-nucleotide ribosomal RNA is filed under the name uncultured bacterium. RNAcentral's name for it is "partial 16S ribosomal RNA". It matches the Rfam family "Bacterial small subunit ribosomal RNA", at positions 523 to 918 of the family's 1533-position model. The record is from RNAcentral.